This 253-nucleotide ribosomal RNA is filed under the name uncultured bacterium. RNAcentral's name for it is "partial 16S ribosomal RNA". It matches the Rfam family "Bacterial small subunit ribosomal RNA", at positions 524 to 776 of the family's 1533-position model. The record is from RNAcentral.
GACGAACCGUGCAAACGUUGUUCGGAAUCACUGGGCUUAAAGGGCGCGUAGGCGGGCCAGCCAGUCUGUGGUGAAAGCCUCCAGCUUAACUGGAGAAGUGCCGUGGAUACUGCUGGCCUCGAGGAGGGUAGGGGCAUCUGGAACAGUAGGUGGAGCGGUGAAAUGCGUUGAUAUCUACUGGAACUCCGGUGGCGAAGGCGAGGUGCUGGACCCUUUCUGACGCCGAGGCGCGAAAGCCAGGGGAGCAAACGGG